GGCGGCGUGCCUAAUACAUGCAAGUUCGAACGAACGGAUAAAGAGCUUGCUCUUUUGAAGUUAGUGGCGGACGGGUGAGUAACACGUGGGUAACCUGCCUCACAGCUGGGGAUAACAUCGAGAAAUCGAUGCUAAUACCGAAUGUGCUGAACAUCAUAAGAUGUUCAAGUGAAAGACGGUUUCGGCUGUCACUGUGAGAUGGACCCGCGCUGGAUUAGCUAGUUGGUAAGGUAAUGGCUUACCAAGGCGACGAUCCAUAGCCGACCUGAGAGGGUGAUCGGCCACAUUGGGACUGAGACACGGCCCAAACUCCUACGGGAGACAGCAGUAGGGAAUCUUCGGCAAUGGACGAAAGUCUGACCGAGCAACGCCGCGUGAGCGAAGAAGGCCUUCGGGUCGUAAAGCUCUGUUGUUAGAGAAGAACAUGGGUGAGAGUAACUGUUCACCCCUUGACGGUAUCUAACCAGAAAGCCACGGCUAACUACGUG
This 488-nucleotide ribosomal RNA is filed under the name uncultured bacterium. RNAcentral describes it as "bacterial SSU rRNA". It matches the Rfam family "Bacterial small subunit ribosomal RNA", at positions 38 to 507 of the family's 1533-position model. The record is from RNAcentral.